RNAcentral lists this ribosomal RNA (434 nucleotides) under uncultured Lachnospiraceae bacterium. Its description in RNAcentral is "bacterial SSU rRNA". It matches the Rfam family "Bacterial small subunit ribosomal RNA", at positions 341 to 792 of the family's 1533-position model. Lineage: Bacteria; Bacillati; Bacillota; Clostridia; Lachnospirales; Lachnospiraceae. The record is from RNAcentral.
ACGGAAGGCAGCAGUGGGGAAUAUUGCACAAUGGGCGAAAGCCUGAUGCAGCGACGCCGCGUGAGUGAAGAAGUAUCUCGGUAUGUAAAGCUCUAUCAGCAGGGAAGAAAAUGACGGUACCUGACUAAGAAGCCCCGGCUAACUACGUGCCAGCAGCCGCGGUAAUACGUAGGGGGCAAGCGUUAUCCGGAUUUACUGGGUGUAAAGGGAGCGUAGACGGUUUGGCAAGUCUGAAGUGAAAUGCGGGGGCUCAACUCCUGAACUGCUUUGGAAACUGUCGAACUAGAGUGCAGGAGAGGUAAGUGGAAUUCCUAGUGUAGCGGUGAAAUGCGUAGAUAUUAGGAGGAACACCAGUGGCGAAGGCGGCUUACUGGACUGUAACUGACGUUGAGGCUCGAAAGCGUGGGGAGCAACCAGGAUUAGAUACCCUGGUA